GAUCAUGGCUCAGGAUGAACGCUGGCGGCGUGCUUAACACAUGCAAGUCGAACGAAGCACUUUAACCUGAUUCUUCGGAUGAAGGUUUUGUGACUGAGUGGCGGACGGGUGAGUAACGCGUGGGUAACCUGCCUCAUACAGGGGGAUAACAGUUAGAAAUGACUGCUAAUACCGCAUAAGACCACGGAGUCGCAUGGCUCAGUGGGAAAAACUCCGGUGGUAUGAGAUGGACCGCGU
Molecule: ribosomal RNA, 237 nt
Filed under: uncultured bacterium
Lineage: Bacteria
Description: partial 16S ribosomal RNA
Rfam family: Bacterial small subunit ribosomal RNA
Source: RNAcentral